Molecule: unclassified non-coding RNA, 214 nt
Filed under: soil metagenome
Description: partial contains 5.8S ribosomal RNA, internal transcribed spacer 2, and large subunit ribosomal RNA
Source: RNAcentral
AACGCACGAGACCUGCGGACCUGCGGAGGGAUCAUUACAAGUGACCCCGGUCUAACCACCGGGAUGUUCAUAACCCUUUGUUGUCCGACUCUGUUGCCUCCGGGGCGACCCUGCCUUCGGGCGGGGGCUCCGGGUGGACACUUCAAACUCUUGCGUAACUUUGCAGUCUGAGUAAACUUAAUUAAUAAAUUAAAACUUUUAGCAACGGAUCUCU